GAUGAAGAACGUAGCGAAAUGCGAUAAGUAAUGUGAAUUGCAGAAUUCAGUGAAUCAUCGAAUCUUUGAACGCACAUUGCGCCCCUUGGUAUUCCGAGGGGCAUGCCUAUUCGAGCGUCAUUAUCACCCCUCAAGCCUAGCUUGGUGUUGAGGCCUGCUGUCAAGGCAGCCUCUAAAAUCAGUGGCAGUUCUGUCAGGCUCUAAGCGUAGUAAAUCUAAUCGCUAUAGACACCUGGUGGACACUCGCCAGAACCCCCCCAUUUUUUAAUGAUUGACCUCGGAUUAGGUAGGGAUACCCGCUGAACUUAAGCAUAUCAAUAAGCGGAGGA
Molecule: unclassified non-coding RNA, 329 nt
Filed under: soil metagenome
Description: partial contains 5.8S ribosomal RNA, internal transcribed spacer 2, and large subunit ribosomal RNA
Rfam family: 5.8S ribosomal RNA (bases 1-120)
Source: RNAcentral